UACGAAGGGGGCAAGCGUUGUUCGGAAUUACUGGGCGUAAAGGGCGCGCAGGCGGCUUGUUAAGUCAGAUGUGAAAACUCCAGGCUCAACCUGGAGACGCCACCCGGGACUGCUAUGGCUAGAGUCCGGUAGGGGAUCACGGAAUUCCUGGUGUAGCGGUGAAAUGCGCAGAUAUCAGGAGGAACACCGGUGGCGAAGGCGGUGAUCUGGGCCGGCACUGACGCUGAGGAGCGAAAGCGUGGGUAGCAAACAGG
RNAcentral lists this ribosomal RNA (254 nucleotides) under uncultured bacterium. RNAcentral describes it as "partial 16S ribosomal RNA". It matches the Rfam family "Bacterial small subunit ribosomal RNA", at positions 524 to 776 of the family's 1533-position model. The record is from RNAcentral.